RNAcentral lists this unclassified non-coding RNA (1424 nucleotides) under Leishmania donovani. Its description in RNAcentral is "gene:LdHU3.33.0150(CDS-product:CEP19-like_protein _putative)". The record is from RNAcentral. Lineage: Eukaryota; Euglenozoa; Kinetoplastea; Trypanosomatida; Trypanosomatidae.
GCAUUUACUCUCCGCUACAGAGUGCACGGGGCAAAUCUCCAUCACCGUCGUGGGCUGCACGCACCUUUGCCGCUUCGCACAGACACAAGCACAGGCUUCCGUGUGCCGCUGUCCGACACUCAUAAACAUGGCUGUAGAUGACAUGGGAGCGGAGCUCUGGGCACUCGUGCACCAUCUCUUUCGAAAAUACCGCCGCGACCCACGGAAAGCUGUGCAAGAGCUGACGCUGCGCACCCACGCAGAGUGGACUCGCGAGCCUGGUGUACCGUUGCCCACAAUCGCGCCGGAUGUCAAGGAAAGUCCUUGGUAUCACGAGAUGUGUAGCCGCCGCGCAUCUCUGCUGGAGCAAUUGCAUGCAAAACACAAGCGCGACAUCGCCGACGCCCAGGAGCUAGUGUCGAGCUUGUAUCCGGACGGCUGCAACCUCAGCGAGUACGCCGAGGCGCUCCGCACAAGUGCGGCACUUCUUCCCUGUCUUGUGCCAUCUGAAACGAUCGAUCACCUCAUUCAGAAAAGAGGCGCUGACUUUCAGGAGAAGGGACGGCACGAAGUGAGCCACGACGAGCUAGUGUCUGACGUCAUCGAAGGUCUCAUGAUUAGAGUUCUCAUACCGCGACAGUGGUGGUGCCGAGGGACGAGCUCCGUCGCACGCGCCACAAGAACGGGCAUCCAGAGCAACCCCCCGACACUCUACAUCGAGUAUGAGAGGCCGGCAGGUGUGCCGCACGUUCGCCGCAUUCACCUGCGUACUAACCUGCGGCCUGACAUGCCGACAGCGCAGCUAGCGCGGCGGCUCGCGAAGACGCAUGAGGCGCUCCUCUCCGAGGCGCAAUUUCAAUCACUGCUCAUACGAUGCCAGCGCCUUCAAGGGCAGAGCCCUGCGUCGUCAGCGGCGAAUGCACCUUCAACUGGCACGGUCGCAUCAACGCUCGCUGCAGCAUUGCUGCCAACGAUAGCGAACACCGCCUCGCCCGACGCGCCCACAGCCCGCAGCAGCAAGCCGCAGAAGGCGGACUUGGGCCUUCUGUAUCGCGACCCCGACGCUGCGCUGGAAAACGUUGACCUCAACGACGCCGAUGAAGUUACGCUACAGGAGUUCAAGGAGGUCAUGAAUGAGCGCUUCAAAGCCAAAGUCGUGAAGCCUGGCGAUCCGGGGUACGUGUACGACAAGCGUGUCGAAGUGUCGAAGCCCACGCAGAGUAGCGGGUGGGACGACGAUUCUGAUUAGAAGCGGUGCGAACAAGCACUGCUGCCGCAUUCGAGAUGCAUCUGCGUGCCUUUGCACGUGAGUGUGCGUGUCUGUGUGUGUGUGUGUGUGUGUAGACGUCGUUGCCGAUCUGUCUAGUGCUUGUUUUACGUGGGUCUUGAUGAACUGGACACUCGCAUGCUCCUCCGUCACAGCGGUUCCCAAGGCCCGAGACCAU